Molecule: ribosomal RNA, 329 nt
Filed under: uncultured eukaryote
Lineage: Eukaryota
Description: partial 18S ribosomal RNA
Rfam family: Eukaryotic small subunit ribosomal RNA
Source: RNAcentral
CCCUUAGAUGUUCUGGGCCGCACGCGCGCUACACUGAUGCAUUCAACGAGUCUAAAACCUGCUCUGAUAGGGGUGGGUAGUCUUUUGAAUGUGCAUCGUGAUUGGGAUAGAUGAUUGCAAUUUUUCAUCUUCAACGAGGAAUGCCUAGUAAACGCAAGUCAUCAGCUUGCAUUGAUUACGUCCCUGCCCUUUGUACACACCGCCCGUCGCUCCUACCGAUUGAAUGAUCCGAUGAAUAUCAUGGAUUGAGGAUGCAAGCAGGUUCGCCUGUCUUCAUCUUCGAGAAGUGAAGUAAAUCUUAUCAUUUAGAGGAAGGAGAAGUCGUAACA